Carassius carassius (crucian carp) is the source of this 821-nucleotide long non-coding RNA. RefSeq lists it as uncharacterized. The record is from RefSeq and is a predicted model, not a curated record. The transcript is spliced from 2 exons. Lineage: Eukaryota; Metazoa; Chordata; Actinopteri; Cypriniformes; Cyprinidae.
UUUACAAGCAGAUACUCUUAGUUUGCUGUUAGCUAUAUAAAGUUUUGAAGCUGCUUUUUGUGUAUUACUGCACACACUGACUGCCAGUCACCUGUUGAACCAACUGUUAAUAGGAAACAUUUGUCUCCUGAACUGAAUAUACAACAGCUAUUUUCUCUCAUCUCUGCAAUCUUCCCAGCUCCAAUUUAAAAACAUGGGGAACGAGAACUCAAACACCCAUGUGGCCAACGCAACUGGGAAGCAUCUUCGGAUUUUCUAUAAAGUGGAUAAAAUGAAGCUGGAAGAAAUGGUGGUAAAUGAGAAAGUAGGGUUAGAAGGUACAGCAUCAAAAACUGGACCAUCACUGUCAGGGAACAUUUCCAGCAAUGUGAAGAUGGUUUUUAGACAAGACACUGAGCUCCAUUACUUUCACCUGCCGGAGAAAGAGACAUGUAACGUUUCCGGGGAGGGCGCCAUCCAUGCCUCUGUCCUUUUGGAAGAUGAAGAGGAUGAAAACAUCUGCAGUGGUGUCAUCUGCCUAAAUUUCCCUGUCCCAAGAGACCGUUCUUUUAUCGUGACUGCCAAUCACACCAUCAAAUUGCAGAAGUAUGGUGCAGGCCUUUGGAUAGAUGAAGACGGCAUUAACCAUCGACCUUAACCUUCCUCUUCAUCCAUCAUGAGGCUACCUUGGAAAUGUGCUGAGGGUUUAGAUAACAAAAUCUUUAUGUUUUCAACAACAAUGUUAAAAGAAAUUUCAGUAAACUUAAAGCUACCACAUUUAUGAUGCUAUAUUUCUGGGAUGCAUCAUUAUUAAGAAAUAAACUAAUUUUUGCAAGGAUUUA